This 451-nucleotide ribosomal RNA is filed under the name uncultured bacterium. RNAcentral describes it as "bacterial SSU rRNA". It matches the Rfam family "Bacterial small subunit ribosomal RNA", at positions 354 to 796 of the family's 1533-position model. The record is from RNAcentral.
GUGGGGAAUCUUGCGCAAUGGACGAAAGUCUGACGCAGCCACGCCGCGUGAGUGAAGAAGGCCUUCGGGUUGUAAAGCUCUGUCGCCCGGGACGAAAAUUCAGUGAGUGAAUAGCUCAUUGAACUGACGGUACCGGGAGAGGAAGCACCGGCUAACUCCGUGCCAGCAGCCGCGGUAAUACGGAGGGUGCAAGCGUUGCUCGGAAUUAUUGGGCGUAAAGGGUAGGUAGGUGGUCUCAUUUGUCUGAGGUGAAAGCCUUGAGCUUAACUCAAGAAGUGCCUCAGAAACGGUGAGACUAGAGUCCUGGAGAGGGUCGUGGAAUUCCCGGUGUAGCGGUGAAAUGCGUAGAGAUCGGGAGGAACACCAGAGGCGAAAGCGGCGACCUGGACAGGAACUGACACUCAACUACGAAAGCGUGGGGAGCAAACAGGAUUAGAUACCCGGGUAGUCC